UUCAGAAUUUAGACGUGGCCAGUCAAAAGUAUAUUUAUGUUGCAGCUAGAACUAGAUCUCUAAAAUUUUGGGCAUCCCCCAAACCAAGACCCUCACAAUGAAGGCCAAACCAAGGCUUCCUUGUAAUGGCCAAUGCCAUUCCCUUGAGGCUGAUGGCAGUUUGGUAGGACCCCUAGCCACAAACCGGAGUGCGCCCUGCAUUUCUUCUCUGCUGUUUCUUACCACAAAAUGGAGUGCAACCGCAUUUUUGCCCAAUUGUAUUUUGGGACCUCCAACCUGAUGAUUAUUAAGCCAAGCCCUCAGGACACUAAACAAGCUUAAUAGGAUUGUGCAGUUCUUUGUAAACAUUUACAACUUCUGGAAACUUUAGGUUUUGAACAAUUAUACGGGAAGGUGGCGAGCUUGACCUUUAAAAAAUUUCUUUGUUACCUGGGUCUUAAAAAGGAGCCUCAAAGUGGCCACUGUAGUUUUAAAUUAUCCUGGGUUAUCUUGCCACUUGUUUACAGUUAUCCCCAUUUUAGGAGGCUUUUCCCAAGGUGGCCACAACAAACAAGGUAAUUUCUAAAGAGAGUUUGUUACGGUUACUGAGAAACUCAGUCCUCAAAACAGCCAAUUCAAUUUAGACAAACGUUAACACGCAACAAUUCUACAUAUAACACAGACCAGAAUACUAGCUGGUUUUCAGGAGUAGCUCAGAACCAGUGCCAGGAGCUACUCAAAACCAGAUUGCCAGGGCAGCACACAAUCUGUGCCAGCAGUUGCCCAGAUCCAGAAGCAACUUCAUGAGUGAAGCUUUCAUCCUGCCUCUAAUUACCUUGGGUGGUUCAGGCCCAAGCUUCGGGUCUCAGGCCACCAGGAUUCCCCAGAAUACAAGCCAAACUUGUAUUUCCAGGAAAUCAAACUAGAGAGACGAGGUAAGGGACAGACGCUUUCUUAAAGUUACUCACCGAGAGCCCAGAGACAUCUUGACCCAGAAGCUGCAUCUUCACCCCCUGCAAAAAAAACCUCCUUGGGGCUGGGAGCACUGCAGCAGAGGAAACAAGAAUCUGGUCAGUUGAGCCUCUAGACAAAAUUGUCUAGGCAGCUGCUUAGGAUUGAUGAAAAGACCCCACAGUCCACCAGGGGUUCCAAAGCCUUGGAUGGGCAGUCACAGGACCUUGUCCUAUCUGGUCACCAAUUGUUACCACACAAAAUUGGGGUUCUUUUACCCAAUGUGCACAAACAGCCAAUUAAUUAUAGCAUCAACUUUUAGGGGAGAAAUCAGCUUUAUUCUGCAAGACAGCUCUGAGGGCACACGCCCCCAUCUCCCUGCAGAUUGAUCUCACAGAAUAAAGGUGAUUUCUUCCCCAAAAGCUGAUCUCAUAAUUAAUUGGCUAUUUGUGCACACUGGGCAAGAGAGCCCAAUUUUGUGUGGUAACACCCUUAUAGUGCAGGUAUCAUUUCCAUUUACACAUGAGGAAACUGCCGCGGAGAGAUGCUAAGCAACUUUUGUAAAGUCACACAGCUAGUAAAUAGAGAAGUCCCUGGACUUGACACCACACUUUCCCCAGGCUCCAAAAGCCAUCAGGGGUUAGGUUAAUUGGAAUCUGAUGUCUUUGUCACUUCUCACUUUAAUUAUUCCUCACUGUUUAAAGUGGAAGACACUUCGAGUUACCUUAGUCUACUGUCUGUCAGAGUGAGAGGGAGGGGAAAGGAGACAAUUUGCAAGUGAUCAAAAGAUAGUCCUGAUAUUUAAGAUUCUCUUACCUUUCAUUUUUCGUUUUGGGGUCUUAGGCACCUCAAGUCCAGGUGUCAAAGGAUCAGAGCAUCUGCAGCCCAACUCUCCCACUGCUGAGGUCUCCCACCACAUUGGAAGCUGGGGUAGGGUACAAAACUGCCCUCAGAGUUUCAGAAGAGGCAGAGUGGAGAGGAGGGGCUGGGGACAAGAGCUGAGCUUUGACUAGACACCGGCUCCUCCCUUUCCCAUCCCUGCAGUGGCCGGUAGCUGCAGAGCUCGUGGUAGAGGUGUCCGGGGGUCACAUGACUGGGCCUCACCUUCUUCAAGAUCUCCGAUUUAGUCUUAUGGCAGCUUCUAGUGAGGUUGGGCAUAUAGUCGUAUUUAGCAAGUGCAUGUGCUGAAACAGUUGACUUGUUAAAUGUGAACAAAAUAUAUCACAUUUUUAGUAACUCUGCUUUAGGAAUUUUCCUCCUUCCACUGUCCCUCUACUUCCCCCUCCCUCCCUCCCUCCAUUUCCCUUUUUUCUCUCUCUCUUUCUCUCUGUCACAGAGGCCCUAGUAGCUGACUUUUCCUUUAAUUUCAUACCAAGUUUGAUAGAGAUUUCUUGGUAUAGCCUCUAUUGGCAGUACACUUGGCAUUUCAAACCAUUUUUAAAAAAAGUUGUAAGUGGGUGGAGGAUAAUAUUUGAGAAAAUAAUUGAAUUUUUUCUCCAGGCCUUUUUUUUUUUUUUAAAGUACAUAGUUGUGUGCUUUUAGUUGUGGGUCCUUCUAGUUGUGGCAUGUGGGACGCCGCCUCAGCAUGGCUUGACGAGUGGUGCCAUGUCCGUGCCCAGGAUCUGAACAGGCGAAACCCUGGGCCGCAGAAGUGGAGCGCUCGAACUUAACCACUCGGCCACAGGGCCAGCCCCUCUCCAGGCUUUCUUAUACACAUUAGCCUUCUCCCACCACUGGGGCACUGGGAUAUGAUCCUGAAUGCACUACCCUCAGGAGAGAGCUGACAAAUAGACAGUCUUUCUAUUUCAUUCUAAGAGCUAGGUUUUUAAGAGAGAGAAGGGUUUUAAAUUCUGAAAAAUUUGGCUUUGACAUCAAUAUCCAGUGGCUUCAGCAUCCAGGGGUGUGUCAGAGCUGGCCUGCACCAGCUCAGGAGAGCAGAUUGUGGACAUCUUUUCUCAACUCCAUGUUCAGUAGCUUGAAAUCAACCAUGGUGGAAGUGUGUACACCAUGAAAAUUGGCAAAUACUACAAACCAGGGUUUUUUUUCCCCCUAAAAAAUCAGUUGUUAAACAUUCACCAACAUAUCACUGCUUUAUUCCAUUAACAAUUGAUUGGACAGUGCAAAUGAUGAUGUAGAAACAGUUUCCCACCUCUAUCUAGAUAGAGAUCCCACAGAUUGUGGAAGGAGAGGGGAUUAAGAGAAAAAAGCACAGGUGAACCACCCAGUAAACCCUUCUAGGCUGAAGCCAAGGAGGUUGGUGUAGGGCACGCAGAAAAAUAUCCAGAUAGGGCUGGAGAUAGGAGGCCCAGCAGACUGUGUCCCACUUCCCAUCUGCAACUCUGUGAGCAGUUAGGAGCUACACAGACUGCUGUGAGUGAAAAUGGGCAGAAAUGGCAGCAGGUGUAGAAAUGGCCUGUGAGAGCUAGCCUCCCUGCUGCUCCCCCACCUGCCAUGCCUCCCUCAACUCCUUUGAGGCCAAGGAACCCAUAGAGAUUUCCUGUCCGACACCAGGAUGGGAGUGGAGAUCAGCUCAGAGACUGGGAGUACGUGGGCCAGUGGGUCACUGACCUUGCCUUGGCUGCUGUCAAGACCACUGAGGAUGGCACAGUUCAGAAACCAACAUGCUGGAAGCCAGCGAGCAUUGACCAGGAUUCCUCUCCGACAAGACCAAGGCCCCCGGUGACUUAGGUCACUUUCCAAGAGAAGUGUGAGGAAGAGAGUCAAGAAGUGAUUAUUGUCCCCAGGAACGACUGGGUUGGAAGAGAUGGAAGAUUGGCAAAAACCAUAGAAAAUGGCGACUGAAAAGUUGUGUGCUGAUCGAUGGAAAAAAGGAAAGGGCAACAAGUGGAGGAGAGUCAAGACUGCAAUGAGAAUAAAAGAAACGGGGAAAUAGAAACACACGACAACAAUGCCUAAGAGAGCGACAGAGGAAACAUUGAGAAGAAAACAGAUAAGGGAGAAAUACUGCACAGAGAAUGCUACACCAGAAAUUAGCAAGAUCCGUGGAGGCAGGAAGAAAAUAAAGAAGAAAGAUAGAGGUUAUAUGGUCCCAUGUAACAGGAGCCCCCGAUUUCUAUGCUUCCUGGGAUUGUGUUAGAGGUAGGGAGCUAUUCCAUGGCUCCAUAAUUCCCCUCGAGAAACAAGGCAUUUCAAAGUUUCCCAAACCUAGUGUGUACUGGACUGUGAGAGCUAGUUGUUAAAUUUUCAGGAAUUCCGUGAGCUAGCUGUUAAACUGGUUAUUUUAAAAAAAAUAAUAACACUAUAUAAGCUUAAAAUUAAAUAAAUUAUAUUAAAAACACAUAAUAGAUACUAAAAACUCAUCAGGUUCUAAUUAUUUUGGAAUAUUUUACUAUCGAUGUAUCUGCAUCUAUCGUGUGGAAAUAUUAUGCAACGGUGUGUUACUACAUAUCCUUUCGUAACACUGCCUUCAAGUGACUUCAUAUUGGAGGAUUGAAAUCAGCCACAGUGGGAGUAUCUACACCAUAGAGAUCAGCAAUUACUACAAAUUGAGGCUUAACAUAUUGUUUUAUUGAUUGUCUAGAUGUAACAACAUGGUGGAGAAAAUAAUACUGUAGAUUAAACUUAAAAGUGUAUUGUGUCCGUAGCUGUUACAUUGUG
Long non-coding RNA from Equus caballus (horse), 4548 nucleotides. Lineage: Eukaryota; Metazoa; Chordata; Mammalia; Perissodactyla; Equidae. The record is from Ensembl.